GCUAAAUGGGUAAGGGGCAUGAGGGAAUUUACUCCUGAAAUCAUUGUUGCACUAUAUGCUAAAUAGCUUGGAUGUAAAUUAUAAAAAAAUUAAAAUUAAAAAAAUUUAUGUGAUGGAGAAUGUAUCAUUGAAGAGCAAACAUUUUUGAGAUUUUUUUGGAUCUGUUUUAAAACUGCAGUUUGGCAGAUUCAUAUGUUUACACCGUGCUGUGUCCCACCCAACUUGUAAAUAUUUGAUAAAUGUUACCUUUUAAAUCCUGAUAACAUUAUGAAAUUGUUAGGAAAUGUUGUGGCCGAUAACCUCUUCCCGAGCCUAAGAUUCACAUUUACCAUGUAGUUAUUGAUUGACUAGAACAAAAUGAUUUUGUUUUCAGGGAAACAUAGUCUCUCAGAGCCACAUCCAAACUUUCCCUUCAUUUAGUUGUAUGUUUUCCAAGGACAGAGAUAAGAUUUUUCCCCGUUCUUGUUCUCAAGCAGGUCAACCUGGAUCUAGUAAGACCAAAUAUUUAUGGACAUAUGUCCCAAAGGCUUUCAGGGUUCUCUGGCCUCCAUUCUAAAACUAUUAAGAAGAAAGAGUUGGAGGUGGAACCAUGUGGAAUUUUAGUUUGCGUUUAACUGGACAUCCAUGACUGAAUAAAAGUGCCUCUACAGAGCAUAUGGGGACAUUAGAGAUCAUCCAUGUGCAUCCAAAGUGGGUGGAUUGAGAACCAGAGAGGCUAUGGGGCCAAAGGGCCAAGGGAGGUGCAGCAGCCAGAGCGGCAGUGCUGGAACCAGCAGAGGAGGCAGAGGAGGUGGAAAGCACAGGUGGUAGGUGAAGUCCUCCCGACUGCUCAGGUGCAGCUGGAGGGGCCUGUUGCUCUUCAGCAGCACCUGGGUUUCCCGGAAGAGAACUCUGCGACUGGGACAAAGGACGGAAAGGGAAGAAGGCAGAGAAAGAGAAUUGAAGGAAGAAGUGUUCUGCUGUCUGCCUUGGUAUUUCAGGAAGAGGUCUGGGACUUCUGAGACUCCUCCCACCCACCCUAGAGUCCUUGGGCACACCCAAAGACCCAAGGGCUAAGCCCACAAUUCCCUUGCCGCUGUGCUACCAGAUAUUUUUGUUUUUGUUUUUAAUGUCAGCUCUAUUUGGUGUGCUCCUAAAUUUCGUGGAGAAUCAGCUCCUUUAGGAGAAAGAAAAUAUUGUGCUAUGUCAUGAGAUCUUCUGUGAAACAAAAAUAAAGUUUCUGAU
Long non-coding RNA from Felis catus (domestic cat), 1224 nucleotides. RefSeq lists it as uncharacterized. The record is from RefSeq and is a predicted model, not a curated record. The transcript has 3 exons. Lineage: Eukaryota; Metazoa; Chordata; Mammalia; Carnivora; Felidae.